RNAcentral lists this long non-coding RNA (1098 nucleotides) under Parus major (Great Tit). RNAcentral describes it as "lncRNA (ENSPMJG00000000221.1)". The record is from RNAcentral. Lineage: Eukaryota; Metazoa; Chordata; Aves; Passeriformes; Paridae.
UGCUGAUAAGGCCUGUUGGUAAAAAAAAAUCACAUUUUUAUUUUCCCACAGAAGAAGAAAUAGUGGUAUUUACCACCUGUGAAUUUUGUUGCACUUUACCAGUUUAUUUUAUGAGGCUCCUUUACAUCACUCCCAUAUUUCCCCAUAGGAUUCUGGGCUUAAUCAAACCAUUCCUUAAAGCCCAAGUAUUGGUCUGACUUUUAUUGUCACUGAAGCAUUCUCAGGGUUAAUAUUUGGUGACAGAAGCAGAAGAUGCCCCUAGCACUGCUCUCACUAUGCAGAAAUAGAACCAUGACAGAAUUUUUUUUCUCUUUUGUUACUUCUCAGGAGUAAUGAGACCUCUCCCAAUGACUCAGUGAUACUCUCCUCACCAGGUAUUUCAACAGGACCUGCCCUUACCAAAGAAGAGUUUUGCUGACAGCUUCCCAGCACUGCAGAGAUCCCUGACUUUCUGAGCCAUCUUGCCACUGCAAUUAAUGCCAGCUGAGGAUUAAAUAACUUCAGUGGGCUUCUGUUAACCUGUACUGCUCCAAGUUCUACACUGUGUGUGUGGUGCUCUGAUGGCUCUGCACAGACCUGGAGAGUUACAGAUUUCCAGCUUCCAUACUCCCACUGUUGGUACAGAAAAGCUUCAGGAAUCAAGCUGUCACUUUAGGUUUCCACAGCUGUUUAUAGAAGUGUAGCCAUGAGCCCCAGGGAAGUUGAUGUGCACCCACCCUCCUGAGUGGCUCCUCUUGAUCUUGUAGCAUGAAAUAACAUUGAAAAAUCUGCUUUUUUCACCUUGCCUGCAUGUCCAGAGGUGGAGUUUGUCAUCCAAAGUCUGAAACAGAGGCGCAGCAGAGUACAGCAGUGCUCAGUGUACUUCCUGCAGCCAGAGAUGUCCACAAGCUCCAGGGAGCAGGGAUAAUACCAGAGCACACCUUGUCCAGGAAGCAGAAAUGCCCCCGUGGGAGCAAGAGGAACAGCCUGCUGCCUCUGGAAAGAUUCCACAGGGAGAUGUUGUGCUUCUGUUUUGGAGAUUCAUUUGUGAAAGAAAACCACCAGGAGUGUAAACCUGAAGCCAAAGGCAUCUUGAAAGGAGCCACAUUCAGUGACUGA